UAGCUCAGUCAGUAGAGCAUGAGACUCUUAAUCUCAGGGUUGUGGGUUCAUGCCCCAC
Molecule: transfer RNA, 58 nt
Organism: Phaethon lepturus (White-tailed tropicbird)
Lineage: Eukaryota; Metazoa; Chordata; Aves; Phaethontiformes; Phaethontidae
Rfam family: tRNA
About the family: Transfer RNA (tRNA) molecules are approximately 80 nucleotides in length. Their secondary structure includes four short double-helical elements and three loops (D, anti-codon, and T loops).
Source: Rfam